GGUCCCGCCUGCCCAGUGACUCUUUAAACGGCCGCGGUAUCCUAACCGUGCAAAGGUAGCAUAAUCACUUGUCCCUUAAAUCGGGACUGGAAUGAACGGCUAAAUGAGGACUAAACUGUCUCUUACAGGCUAGCCAAUGAAAUUGAUUUUCCAGUACAAAAGCUGGAAUAUAACCACAAGACGAGAAGACCCUGUGGAGCUUACAAACCAAAUUCACCAAACAUGUUUUAUAGGUUUUCAGUUGGGGCGACUUCGGAGUACAAAAUAACCUCCAAACAUAAAACUAAUUAAGAACAACACAUCAAAAUAUAGCUUAUUGACCCAGCAACCCUCAUGGUUGUCUGAUUAAUGAACCAAGUUACCCCAGGGAUAACAGCGCCAUCCCCUUCUAGAGUCCCUAUCGACAAGGGGGUUUACGACCUCGAUGUUGGAUCAGGACACCCCAAUGGUGCAGCCGCCAUUAACG
This 466-nucleotide ribosomal RNA is filed under the name Anatololacerta anatolica. RNAcentral describes it as "partial large subunit ribosomal RNA". It matches the Rfam family "Bacterial large subunit ribosomal RNA", at positions 1851 to 2570 of the family's 2925-position model. Lineage: Eukaryota; Metazoa; Chordata; Lepidosauria; Squamata; Lacertidae. The record is from RNAcentral.